AUUGCCUCAGUAACGGCGAGUGAAGCGGCAAGAGCUCAAAUUUGAAAUCUGGCCCCUCCGGGGUCCGAGUUGUAAUUUGCAGAGGAUGCUUCGGGUGCGGCCCCUGUCUAAGUGCCCUGGAACGGGCCGUCAGAGAGGGUGAGAAUCCCGUCUUGGGCAGGGUGCCCGUGCCCGUGUGAAGCUCCUUCGACGAGUCGAGUUGUUUGGGAAUGCAGCUCUAAAUGGGUGGUAAAUUUCAUCUAAAGCUAAAUACCGGCCGGAGACCGAUAGCGCACAAGUAGAGUGAUCGAAAGAUGAAAAGCACUUUGAAAAGAGAGUUAAACAGCACGUGAAAUUGUUGAAAGGGAAGCGCUUGCGACCAGACUCGGCCCCGGGGUUCAGCCAGCACUCGUGCUGGUGUACUUCCCCGGGGGCGGGCCAGCGUCGGUUUGGGCGGCCGGUCAAAGGCCCCAGGAAUGUAUCAUCCUCCGGGAUUGUCUUAUAGCCUGGGGUGCAAUGCGGCCAGCCCGGACCGAGGAACGCGCUUCGGCACGGACGCUGGCGUAAUGGUCGCAAACGACCCGUCUUGAAACACGGACCAAGGAGUCUAACAUCUACGCGAGUGUUCGGGUGUCAAACCCGUACGCGCAGUGAAAGCGAACGGAGGUGGGAGCCUUUCGGGGCGCACCAUCGACCGAUCCUGAUGUCUUCGGAUGGAUUUGAGUAAGAGCGUAGCUGUGGGGACCCGAAAGAUGGUGAACUAUGCCUGAAUAGGGCGAAGCCAGAGGAAACUCUGGUGGAGGCUCGCAGCGGUUCUGACGUGCAAAUCGAUCGUCAAAUUUGGGUAUAGGGGCGAAAGACUAAUCGAACCAUCUGGUAGCUGGUUCCUGCCGA
This 873-nucleotide ribosomal RNA is filed under the name Aspergillus caespitosus. RNAcentral describes it as "LSU rRNA". It matches the Rfam family "Eukaryotic large subunit ribosomal RNA", at positions 74 to 964 of the family's 3401-position model. Lineage: Eukaryota; Fungi; Ascomycota; Eurotiomycetes; Eurotiales; Aspergillaceae. The record is from RNAcentral.